AAAAUAAUUAAAUAAAAAUGGGGCGUUACACCGUGUCUGCAUUCUGAUCGGAGAAGACAACUUCAUUCACCAAAACAUUCUUCGAGGUAACAUUAUUUCGAUUGUUUAAUAGCAAUUUUUCCCCUUUUCCAUAAAUUUUUGCGUUUACAGUAACAGUUGAAACGUGGCUCAGGCAAGGAACAGUUACGGCGACGACAAGGGGGAGAAGCAGCGACAAUGAUAAUGGUGAGAGGAGGAGAAGGAAGAAUGAAACACUGUUGUGUACCAGGAGAGGAAACGCGUGUGGCCUUUGUUUUCCAUUAAACAAAGCAUUUUCUAAACCUUUUAAUCUCGGCCUUUGGUUCUAUUUUAGCAACAUGUCACACAUCCAAGAAGUAAAAAGGAGUAAAUGGAGGCUCUCUAAAUGGAGCAAAGAUGGACUCAAUGGUUA
This 430-nucleotide long non-coding RNA is filed under the name Medicago truncatula (barrel medic). RNAcentral's name for it is "long non-coding RNA (MTRU_LNC000999)". The record is from RNAcentral. Lineage: Eukaryota; Viridiplantae; Streptophyta; Magnoliopsida; Fabales; Fabaceae.